UACGGGGGUGGCAAGCGUUGUUCGGAAUUACUGGGCGUAAAGGGCGCGUAGGCGGCCUGCUAAGUCGAACGUGAAAUCCCUGGGCUCAACCCAGGAACUGCGUCCGAUACUGGUUGGCUUGAAUCCGGGAGAGGGAUGUGGAAUUCCAGGUGUAGCGGUGAAAUGCGUAGAUAUCUGGAGGAACACCGGUGGCGAAGGCGACAUCCUGGACCGGCAUUGACGCUGAGGCGCGAAAGCCAGGGGAGCAAACGGG
Molecule: ribosomal RNA, 253 nt
Filed under: uncultured bacterium
Lineage: Bacteria
Description: partial 16S ribosomal RNA
Rfam family: Bacterial small subunit ribosomal RNA
Source: RNAcentral